This 1799-nucleotide long non-coding RNA is filed under the name Terrapene triunguis (Three-toed box turtle). RNAcentral describes it as "Terrapene carolina triunguis (Three-toed box turtle) lncRNA (ENSTMTG00000010741.1)". Lineage: Eukaryota; Metazoa; Chordata; Testudines; Emydidae. The record is from RNAcentral.
GGCGGGGAUGACAGGGCUGUUACCCCAUCCACUCUCCCUUGGCUCUAACUUGUCUCUUUCCUCCAUCCUGCCAGGUUCUCCAGGAAACUCCCAGCAUGAAGCUUCUCACUGCUGUCCUGUUCCUGGCCGUGCUAGGCUCCAAGGCCUCUCCCCUCGGCAAGGAACCCAAGCCAAGGCUGGACCAGGUUGCAGACGCCAUCGAACGUAACUUGGAGCAACUUAUCAGAAUGACCACGGAGCUGAUCCAGAAAUCUGAACUGGGCCAGGAGAUCGAGGAGUGGAGACUUGAAAGGAAAAUGUAUAACUUCUUUGAAGACUUAGCCCGUAAGGUGCCCCCCAAGGCCAAGGAGCAGCUGAGGAACCUGAGCAGGCCGGUGGAAAAAAGUGUGACAAUGCUGUGGGAACUGGAGAGGAAGGUGCGGCCCUACAUGGACCAGCUGCAUGAUGCCCUGGUGUCCUACACCGAGGGGCCGCUGGAGAUGGUGGAGCACUACAGCAAGACCCUGCUUGGUAGCCAGGCGUACAGCAACGUCCCGUCUAGGGUGGAGCUGCAGGAGCAGCUGGGCUCCUAUGCCCAGGAGCUGGGGCUGCAGGAGUUCGAGCGCAGCCUGGCAGCCUACGCCAGGGACCUGCACCAGAAGCUCAGCCCCUAUGCUGAGGACUUGCAUGGCUGGCUGAACUCCCGCUGGGACGCCUUCAUGCAAUGUUUCAGUGAAGAGACCAGUGGGGGUGCCUCAUAGGCCCUGUCCAUACCUGGAGCCCAAGGCGAUCCCCCAGGAUUGAGGGGGGACAGCUCCGCCGUAAGGCACCCCGCAGCAGGUUCCCUGCCCCAUACAGCCGUCCAUGGCUCAAUAAACCAGCUGUUUAAUCAUGCAGUGAUGUGUGGUCCUGCUGCAUCUCUGGGGAAGGGGGCUUGGGGUGUCAAUCCCCCCACAGCGCAGGAGGUCACCAGGCCUGUAGAGGGGCAUGGCCCCAAUUACCCACUCCCCACAAACUGCUCAACCUCCCCCCCAAUGCUCCCCCUAAACCAUCCCCCCCUUAAACAUGCCCCACCCCUGUGCUCCCUUUAAACUGCCCCACCCCAGUGCAUCCCCCAGCUUACAUUCUAAACUGCUCUCGCUCCACCUCUUCCCCUACACUGCACCACCCUGGCCCAUAAGCGUGGGAACUAGGGAUGCAGGGCGUGAUGCAGCACCCCCAGGUUUUGCAUGGGGUCCCAGCCACCAGCCCCACACCUGGGGCUCUGCUCCCAGUCCCAGCUGUGGUCCCAGCCUCAGCCCCCCCACCCCUCCCGGAGCCACAGCCCAGUCCUGGCCCCAGCUCUGGGGAGAGGGGACACGGACAGAGAUAAGGGGGGGUGCAAAGUAAAAAAUUUGGGCUUUCAGCACCCCCACUGUAAAAAGCGUUCCAGGGCCACCAUGUCAAGUUCUGCACAGAGCUGUAGCAACAAGUCCCCACUUCCCGAGAAGCUCCCUCAAGUUCAGUAAAGCCCUAUCGCCGCCCCUUUUAAAGUGCCCCCCACCCUCCCGGUGAGAUGUUGCCGCUCAGAGGGGAAAUAAGGCCCGAUAGCCUCUGUGAACAUGUGAGCCCUUGCACUGCUCACUCCAGCGUUAAUGAGCUCCCCUUGAGAAGGCUGGUGGCGGGAAUUAGACACUCAGGCUGGCUGGGCCAAGGAGGAGGCAGGAAGCCCCGCGAGAGGGAUCAGCGCCAAUACCGGAUUGAUAAUGGCGCCGGGCCCAUGGUCGAAAGGGGCCCCGGCGCGCUCUCCUGUGGGGUCAGAGCUUGAUACUGCGGCUCCG